CUAUCUCUGGGAUGUUCGCCAGCGGGUCAAUAUCCCUGCCGAUACUUAUAUCUCCGGAUGCGUUCUGUGUACUUAGAGUGUAGCCUACCCUCGUGUAGGAAACCCAGAAAGUAUGCGUCGCGUCCACCUUGAACUCAUCGGGUUCAGGGUAACGACAUGCAGCGGCAUCUUCGGAGUGUUU
Molecule: non-coding RNA, 181 nt
Rfam family: 6S / SsrS RNA
About the family: E. coli 6S RNA was the first non coding RNA to be sequenced, but its function was unknown until recently. It consists of 184 nucleotides that fold into an extended hairpin structure with a large single-stranded internal bulge.